This 253-nucleotide ribosomal RNA is filed under the name uncultured bacterium. RNAcentral's name for it is "partial 16S ribosomal RNA". It matches the Rfam family "Bacterial small subunit ribosomal RNA", at positions 524 to 776 of the family's 1533-position model. The record is from RNAcentral.
GACAGAGGGUGCAAACGUUGUUCGGAAUUACUGGGCGUAAAGCGCGUGUAGGCGGCUCUGCAAGUCGGGUGUGAAAUCCCUCGGCUUAACCGGGGAACUGCGUCUGAUACUGGAUGGCUAGAGAUUGGGAGAGGGAUGCGGAAUUCCAGGUGUAGCGGUGAAAUGCGUAGAUAUCUGGAGGAACACCGGUGGCGAAGGCGGCAUCCUGGACCAACACUGACGCUGAGGAGCGAAAGCCAGGGGAGCAAACGGG